AAAGGGGUCGUACCUGCAAGUCGAGCGGAAACGAUGAUAGCUUGCUAUCAGGCGUCGAGCGGCGGACGGGUGAGUAAUACUUAGGAAUCUACCUAGUAGUGGGGGAUAGCACGGGGAAACUCGUAUUAAUACCGCAUACGACCUACGGGAGAAAGGGGGCAGUUUACUGCUCUCGCUAUUAGAUGAGCCUAAGUCGGAUUAGCUAGAUGGUGGGGUAAAGGCCUACCAUGGCGACGAUCUGUAGCUGGUCUGAGAGGAUGAUCAGCCACACCGGGACUGAGACACGGCCCGGACUCCUACGGGAGGCAGCAGUGGGGAAUAUUGGACAAUGGGGGAAACCCUGAUCCAGCCAUGCCGCGUGUGUGAAGAAGGCCUUUUGGUUGUAAAGCACUUUAAGCAGUGAAGAAGACUCCGUGGUUAAUACCCACGGACGAUGACAUUAGCUGCAGAAUAAGCACCGGCUAACUCUGUGCCAGCAGCCGCGGUAAUACAGAGGGUGCAAGCGUUAAUCGGAAUUACUGGGCGUAAAGGGAGCGUAGGUGGCUCUAUAAGUCAGAUGUGAAAUCCCCGGGCUUAACCUGGGAACUGCAUCUGAAACUGUAGAGCUAGAGUAUGUGAGAGGAAGGUAGAAUUCCAGGUGUAGCGGUGAAAUGCGUAGAGAUCUGGAGGAAUACCGAUGGCGAAGGCAGCCUUCUGGCAUAAUACUGACACUGAGGCUCGAAAGCGUGGGUAGCAAACAGGAUUAGAUACCCUGGUAGUCCACGCCGUAAACGAUGUCUACUAGUCGUUGGGUCCCUUGAGGACUUAGUGACGCAGCUAACGCAAUAAGUAGACCGCCUGGGGAGUACGGCCGCAAGGUUAAAACUCAAAUGAAUUGACGGGGGCCCGCACAAGCGGUGGAACAUGUGGUUUAAUUCGAUGCAACGCGAAAACCUUACCUGGUCUUGACUAA
Molecule: ribosomal RNA, 952 nt
Filed under: Psychrobacter fozii
Lineage: Bacteria; Pseudomonadati; Pseudomonadota; Gammaproteobacteria; Moraxellales; Moraxellaceae
Description: bacterial SSU rRNA
Rfam family: Bacterial small subunit ribosomal RNA
Source: RNAcentral